AAGGAUCAGAAUAACAGCUGCACAACACAAGGACCUCAUAUGCAUCGUCAAAAAGAAGUGCACAUCACUAAAGCAUCAACCGAUUAAACCCAGAUUGCACUUUCCUGCCCGAUUUGUUUUCCUUUCUAGGGAUCGGUAUGAUUGAUUAACAAUGCUCCUGUCUAAAGAAAAACAAUGUUACACCACAAAAGAACUCUGCACAGAUAAUUUGCAGUAAUCAAAAUAUCUAUAACACAAAACAAAUGAACAAUAAUAUGCACAUUAGUAGAUCCUCCGUGAGCUUAAAUUCGAUAAACAAAAAAAAACACAAAAUUGAGUAGUGCCAACAAAAAGUGGCCGCAUGAACAAAAAAUCAUGCAGGAACUUGAUAAAACCAAGUACUCUGCUACCAGAAGAUUCAAAGAGUAGUACAAAAAUUGACUAUUCCCAUGGGAUGUGGCAAGAACCUGCCUGCAGCAAUUAAAAAUUCAGAACCAUCAAACACAUAUGCUCAUCAUUCAGAAAAAAAUAUCCACAUCAUACACGACGACAUGAAUUUUUGAUUACUCAAUUCUACCAAAAGCCUUCGAUAGGUCUAUUUUUAACAUAAAUGCUUUAUGUUUCCACAAGGACAAUUGGAUUUCUUGGGCAAUAAUAACAUUAUUUGAAAUUCUCCUACCCUGGAUAAAAGCUUGCUGAUUUUCAUGAAUAUGAUCAGGGAGGUGAUCUUUAAGCCUAUUUGCCAAAGUUUGACGAUUACAAGCUACAUUGCAUAUGCUAAUGGGUCUAAGGUCUUAGGGAGAAUUAGCAUUAACUUUUUUUCGGAAUAAGAGCAAUGUAGGUUUUGUUUAAACUAGGAUGAAGGCAUGAAGCAUACCUUGGCUGUAGAAAGUUUGAACCAGUUUGGUGAUGUUGUCUCCAAUCCAAUUCCAAGCCAAAAGGAAGAAAGCCACAUUAAGUCCAUCUGGUCCAGGUUCUCAAAUAAAAAAGUGAAAUCACUUUAAAAUAAUCACAAGUUCUCAAACUUAGAAGGUUUGUUAUAUUUAACAGCAUCCGGUUGGGAAAUGGUAAAAAUAGGAGCAUGGUCACUGUACGGGGAGUUAUAAACAGUAGUGUUGGAAAUCUAUGACAGCAUCCAGCAUUAACAAAGCACCAAUCCAUCAUCCGGAAACAAGAAAUGAAUUCGAAUUUUUGGAUAACGAAUCCUUCUAAUCCAGUCUAUCUACUGUCUUUUUGAGGAGCCAGAGGAAAUGCAUCUCAAGUUUAUCCCGCUAACUAGUUUGGCCAAAGGUUGAAACAACCUCACAAAACUCAUACUACAUCUCGACCUCCUUCUCAGUUCUCACUUGAAGCACUUAAGAAUCGCAGUGAAAACAGGAACCAAGCGAGAGAGCAACUUGUACAGCUUCUCAACCUUGUCGCACAUGGUAACUAAGUAGGCAGCCUCCGGGUUUUCCUUUGUGGCUAGAUAGCCAACCCCGAUACAGAAAGCCAUGAUACCAAGGUGGAAGCAGUUUCUCUUCACUUCGCCCCACACCUUUGGCCACCAUGGGAUCCAACUCGGCGAUUCCCUGGCGUCGGGCGGUGGAGGCAGAGAUGCGUCGGGCGGUGGAGGCAGAGAGGCGUCGGGCGGUGGCGGCAGCGAGGCGUCGGGCGGAGGCGGCAGCACGUCGGGCGGAGGCGGCGGCGCCUCGGGUGCACACCGCGAGGGGAGACGACGCGUAACCCGCAUCCCUCUUGCUGCGUGAGCGAGAGAGGAAGGGGAACUAUGAGGGGAGGGUGGAUGGACCUCGACAGAUGGAGGAGGAGAGGGGGAGGGGGGAGGCGGAGUAACCUGCGAGGCCGGGGCGCGCGACGGUCGAGCGCAAGGUGAUGAAGCGGACGACGGUGGCCCGCGGCGCCACGACGUAGGGACCUGCAUUCGCAGGCACGAUCCGGACGAGGGACAUCGCAGGCAGA
This 1938-nucleotide long non-coding RNA is filed under the name Triticum aestivum (bread wheat). Its description in RNAcentral is "long non-coding RNA (TAES_LNC007521)". Lineage: Eukaryota; Viridiplantae; Streptophyta; Magnoliopsida; Poales; Poaceae. The record is from RNAcentral.